Molecule: long non-coding RNA, 254 nt
Filed under: Vigna radiata
Lineage: Eukaryota; Viridiplantae; Streptophyta; Magnoliopsida; Fabales; Fabaceae
Description: long non-coding RNA (VRAD_LNC001244)
Source: RNAcentral
CGGUAUGGAGAAAGUAUCAAGUUUGGGGUUGUUGGGAAAUUUAAAAGAACUGUGAAAAUAAUAAAAAAAAAACAUUGACCUAAGUAUUGAGUAAAAGAAAAGCAAAAGAAGAGAAGGAAAAGAAAAAGAAAGAAAAGCUCAAUGAAUGGGAAAUUGGGAUUAAAUGAAAAUGGUUUCUCAAUUGUAAAAGAGAAAGAGAGUUUGUGUUUUAAUGAUGAAAUUAUGAAUUGUUACUCUCUUAACUCUAGGAUUUU